UGCUCCUUGGGUGACGAGUGGCGGACGGGUGAGUAAUGUCUGGGAAACUGCCCGAUGGAGGGGGAUAACUACUGGAAACGGUAGCUAAUACCGCAUAACGUCGCAAGACCAAAGAGGGGGACCUUCGGGCCUCUUGCCAUCGGAUGUGCCCAGAUGGGAUUAGCUAGUAGGUGGGGUAACGGCUCACCUAGGCGACGAUCCCUAGCUGGUCUGAGAGGAUGACCAGCCACACUGGAACUGAGACACGGCCCAGACUCCUACGGGAGGCAGCAGUGGGGAAUUUUGGACAAUGGGGGCAACCCUGAUCCAGCCAUGCCGCGUGAGUGAAGAAGGCCUUCGGGUUGUAAAGCUCUUUCGGCCGGGAAGAAAUCGUGUGGGCUAAUACCCUGCAUGGAUGACGGUACCGGAAUAAGAAGCACCGGCUAACUCCGUGCCAGCAGCCGCGGUAAUACGGAGGGUGCAAGCGUUAAUCGGAAUUACUGGGCGUAAAGCGUGCGCAGGCGGUUGAUUAAGACAGGCGUGAAAUCCCCGGGCUUAACCUGGGAACUGCGCUUGUGACUGGUCGGCUAGAGUACGGCAGAGGGGGGUGGAAUUCCACGU
Molecule: ribosomal RNA, 600 nt
Filed under: uncultured bacterium
Lineage: Bacteria
Description: bacterial SSU rRNA
Rfam family: Bacterial small subunit ribosomal RNA
Source: RNAcentral